AUACGUAGGGGGCGAGCGUUGUCCGGAAUGAUUGGGCGUAAAGGGCGCGUAGGCGGCCUGUUAAGUCUGGAGUGAAAGCCCUGUUUUCAAGAUGGGAAUUGCUUUGGAUACUGAUGGGCUUGAGUGCAGGAGAGGUUAUCGGAAUUCCCGGUGUAGCGGUGAAAUGCGUAGAGAUCGGGAGGAACACCAGUGGCGAAGGCGGGUAACUGGACUGCAACUGACGCUGAGGCGCGAAAGUGUGGGGAGCAAACAGGAUUAUAUACCCUGGUAGUCCACACUGUAAACGAUGAAUGCUAGGUGUAAGAGGUAUCGACCCCUUUUGUGCCGGAGUUAACACAAUAAGCAUUCCGCCUGGGGAGUACGGCCGCAAGGGUGAAACUCAAAUGAAUUGACGGGG
Molecule: ribosomal RNA, 397 nt
Filed under: uncultured bacterium
Lineage: Bacteria
Description: partial 16S ribosomal RNA
Rfam family: Bacterial small subunit ribosomal RNA
Source: RNAcentral